GACGAACGCUGGCGGCGUGCUUAACACAUGCAAGUCGAACGAAGUGGCGAACGGGGGAGUAAUACGUGGGUAACCUGCCCUCCUUUUUGGGAUAAGCCUUGGAAACGGGGUCUAAUACCGAAUCAAGGGGGUUGGGCUCGCGGCCUAUCCUGUUGUUGGUGGGGUGAUGGCCUACCAAGGCGGUGACGGGUAUCCGGCCUGUGAGGUUGACUGGCUACAUGGGACAUGGGUUACGGCCCGUGUGAUUACGGGUGGAAGGAGGGGGGGUUAUUGAACAAUGGGGGAAAGGCGGGUGCAGCGACGCCGCUUGGGGGAUGAAGGCUUCCGGGUUGGAAACCUCUUUCGCUAUUGAACGGGUAGGUGGCGAAGAAGCGCCGGCUAACUACGUGCCAGCAGCCGCAGUAAUUC
Molecule: ribosomal RNA, 408 nt
Filed under: uncultured bacterium
Lineage: Bacteria
Description: partial 16S ribosomal RNA
Rfam family: Bacterial small subunit ribosomal RNA
Source: RNAcentral